GAAUAUUAGUCAAUGAUCGAAAGAUUGAUCUAGUUACUUAGAAAGAUGAAUUAUCAAUAUACAUCUUUCAAGGAGGGACUAUGUUUUUCCUUGAAGGGAAUUUGAAUAAAGAUAAAAUUGAUUAAAAAUAAAAUCUAAAUUAUAGAAAAAAUAAUGAUAAUCUAUAAUAAUAGUCUUAACCAAAAAUAGUGCCAGCAGUUGCGGUUACACUAUGAAGGCUAACGUUAAUCAUUAAGGCUUAAAGGAUCCGUAGAACGAUAUAUAAUUUCCUAAUAAACUGAGAUUUUAACUUAAAGUUAAAAAAUGAGGAGGAAAUAAAUAAAAAUAUAUUAGAGUUUUAAGUAUGAUUAAAGAAUAAUUAUAGUAAAGAUGAAAUAAUUAUGAUAAUAAUUAGACUGUUAAAGGUGAAAACAUUAAUCAAAAAUAAAACUGACGUUGAGGGAUGAAGGCAUAAGUAGCAAAACGGAUUCGAUACCCGAUUAGUUUAUGCAGUAAACGAUGAAUACUUCUAUAAAUAAAAUUUGUAGUAAGUGAAAACGUAAGUAUUCCGCCUGGUGAGUAUAUUCGCAAGGAUGAAAUCCAAGACAAUAGACGGUUACAGAUAAAGGCAGUGGAUUGUGUUAU
Molecule: ribosomal RNA, 624 nt
Filed under: Komagataella ulmi
Lineage: Eukaryota; Fungi; Ascomycota; Pichiomycetes; Pichiales; Pichiaceae
Description: partial small subunit ribosomal RNA
Rfam family: Bacterial small subunit ribosomal RNA
Source: RNAcentral